AUAUGAUUUCUAGUUUUCGGUUGGGGUGACCGCGGAGCAMAACAAAACCUCCACGAUGAAAGAGCCAACCCUCUAAUCAAAGAGCAACAACUCUAAGAAUCAAUAAAUUGACAUUAUUUGAUCCAAUUAUUUUGAUCAACGAACCAAGUUACCCUGGGGAUAACAGCGCAAUCCACUUCAAGAGCCCCUAUCGACAAGUGGGUUUACGACCUCGAUGUUGGAUCAGGGUAUCCCAGUGGUGCAGCCGCUACUAAAGGUUCGUUUGUUCAACGAUUAAWACCCUACGUGAUCUGAGUUCAGAC
This 302-nucleotide ribosomal RNA is filed under the name Uperodon sp. T1. Its description in RNAcentral is "partial 16S ribosomal RNA". It matches the Rfam family "Bacterial large subunit ribosomal RNA", at positions 2252 to 2616 of the family's 2925-position model. The record is from RNAcentral. Lineage: Eukaryota; Metazoa; Chordata; Amphibia; Anura; Microhylidae.